This 1167-nucleotide ribosomal RNA is filed under the name Triticum aestivum (bread wheat). Its description in RNAcentral is "partial small subunit ribosomal RNA". Lineage: Eukaryota; Viridiplantae; Streptophyta; Magnoliopsida; Poales; Poaceae. The record is from RNAcentral.
AUGGCGUCUGCUGCUCUCCUCAAAUCGUCUUUCCUUCCCAAGAAGGCCGAAUGGGGUGCCACGCGCCAGGCCGCCGCCGCCAAGCCGGUGACCGUCUCCAUGGUUGUCCGUGCCAGCGCGUACGCCGAUGAGCUUGUCAAAACCGCGAAAACUAUCGCAUCGCCAGGAAGGGGUAUCCUUGCCAUGGAUGAGUCGAAUGCCACUUGUGGCAAGAGACUUGCAUCGAUUGGCCUUGAGAACACUGAGGCUAACCGCCAGGCUUACCGGACCCUCCUUGUCACUCCACCAGGCUUGGGAAACUACAUCUCUGGUGCUAUCCUCUUUGAGGAGACCCUCUACCAGUCGACUGUUGAUGGCAAGAAGAUUGUUGACAUCCUUGUCGAGCAGGGAAUCGUUCCCGGUAUCAAGGUUGACAAGGGUCUUGUGCCACUUGUUGGUUCCAACGAUGAGUCAUGGUGCCAAGGUCUAGAUGGCCUUGCCUCCCGUGAAGCAGCAUACUACCAGCAAGGCGCCCGCUUCGCCAAGUGGCGCACUGUUGUCAGCAUUCCUAACGGCCCAUCUGAGCUUGCUGUCAAGGAAGCUGCCUGGGGUCUUGCCCGUUACGCGGCCAUCUCACAGGACAAUGGGCUGGUGCCGAUUGUGGAGCCUGAGAUCAUGCUCGACGGUGAGCACGGCAUCGAGAGGACCUUCGAGGUCGCACAGAAGGUGUGGGCGGAGACCUUCUACUAUAUGGCCCAGAACAACGUCAUGUUUGAGGGCAUCCUCUUGAAGCCAAGCAUGGUGACCCCUGGUGCCGAGUGCAAGGACAGGGCCACCCCUGAGGAAGUAGCCAGCUACACCCUCAAGCUUCUCCAGAGAAGGAUCCCCCCUUCCGUCCCCGGCAUCAUGUUCUUGUCUGGUGGUCAGUCGGAGGUGGAGGCGACGCUGAACCUGAACGCGAUGAACCAGGCGCCGAACCCAUGGCACGUGUCCUUCUCCUACGCGCGGGCGCUGCAGAACACCUGCCUCAAGACGUGGGGCGGCCGGCCGGAGAACGUGGCCGCGGCACAGGAGGCGCUGCUGCUGCGCGCCAAGGCCAACUCCCUGGCGCAGCUCGGCAAGUACACCAGCGACGGCGAGGCCGCGGCCGCCAAAGAGAACAUGUUCGUCAAGAACUACAGCUACUGA